Molecule: long non-coding RNA, 24215 nt
Filed under: Triticum aestivum (bread wheat)
Lineage: Eukaryota; Viridiplantae; Streptophyta; Magnoliopsida; Poales; Poaceae
Description: long non-coding RNA (TAES_LNC025010)
Source: RNAcentral
GAGAUACUCCAUUGAAUUAGAUUCAUCACCAGUUAACACGUAAACAUAAGUAUCAUUGGUGCUCAGGCAAGCAACAGGCAUGUACAUGUCAGCCUGGACGACACGAGCAAGCUUUGCGGCCCGCUCGUGGCCCGUUCAGGACCGGACCGUACGGUCCAGGCCCGGUAGAAAAACAGGACGGGCCAGGCCCAGAAAUACAGACCGCAAAAAGUUCGGUCCGGUCCGGUCUUUAACCGGGCCGACCGAGCGGACCGCUGGCGCAGCAAGGCCCAUCUGGCUGGACAGAUCGAGGCAUCGAGCGAACCCCCUCCCCUCGUUCCAUUCCCCCUCCCCCCCUCCCCUCGCUCUCCUCUCCUCACAGCGCCUCCUCCUCUCCAAUCCCAAACCCUAACCCUUCAUCGACGGCGCCAUCGCCCGCGGCUUCUCCCCUUCAUCGACGGCGCCAUCGCCCGCGGCCUCUCCCCUUCAUCGACGGCGCCAUCGCCCGCGGCCUCUCCCCUUCAUCGACGGCGCCAUCGCCCGCGGCCUCUCCCCUUCAUCGACGGUGCCAUCUCGUCCGAGUACGAGCUGGAGGAGCACGUGUACGUCGGGGACGCAGCAAGGCCAGCACGCCAUCGGUCCCGUCUUCCCUGGUUCCUCGCCGAGCGCCACGAAGAGGAAGAGGUAACCUGACCUGUAACCCCGCCAAACUGAGAUGAUUCAGUGCUGAACUUAGAUAGGUGAUCUAGAGAUCUAGUGUUUGAACAAGAAACUUUCUGAAUUUUCUGAACUUAUGUAAGAGUUUCUGAAUUUUCUGAACUUAUGUAACAGUUUCUGAAUUUUCUGAACUAAUGUAUCUAGAGUUUCUGAAUUUUCUGAACUAAUGUAAUAGUUUCAGUAGAUGUAGUGUUUCAACAGUAAACUUUAGUCAAGAGAUUAUACUGAAAAGUGACAAUAGUUUCUGAAAAAAUGCUUGAUUAUGCACUAUUGCUAGAUGACUAUAUGUUUGUUUGCACUAGUACUAGCUGAUUUAACACGUUUGGUCAGGAGAUGUAGUUCUGGAGAGUAGACAGUAUGUGCAGAACAAGGUUUUCUAUGCUACAACAAGAAGAAGAUGAAUUAUUUGCACUUGAUGGUUGAUGUACUGACUGUAGAUAUUAUGUGCUAUUUUUUUUUUGUAGAGAAUGGUGAAGGAGAAGGGGAAUGAGAAGGGAAAGGGUGCUGGUAAGGAGAAUGGGAAGCCGAAGGGUGCUGGUAAGGAGAAUGGGAAGGCAAAGGCAAAGGAAAAGAGCUUGAAUUACCUAAUUAGGCAAGAUUCGGCGCUGCCUCCUCUAGUUCCGAGGAAGAAGAGCAAACCUAAGGUGCAGAUUAAGAAGGCGAAAGACUUUCCCAAUGCCCCAAUGGGAGAGUUAAUUUGUAGGUUAAAAAAACACCCUCCGCCUCCUCCGCGUCUCCCCGACCGCACCGGUGCCGGCGUGCGUGCCGCGGAAGCCGCUGCCUCCUCAUGCAUCUACUAUUGUGGUAGAGGACGAGGAGAAGGAGGAGGACGACGAGGACGAGGACAUGGAUGAGGACAAGGACAAGGAAUAUGAGGAGCAGAAUCUGUUUGUGGUUCCGCCAUUGCAAGCGGGUGCUGAUAUGUCGGAUGAUGAUACAUCAGAGGGGUAUAAGGAAUCAGCAGAUGAACUGGAAGGUGACACUAUGUCCGAGGAAUCACUUGUGCAUGUUGUCUCUAGUGAGGAGGAGGCAAGAGAAAGGAAAAGGAAAAAGAACAAGAGGCCAAGAGCCAAUGCUCCCGUUAGGACGUCAUCCAAUGUUUGGGCCCAUUUUCACAAGGUCAAGGAGCCAGAUGAGAAGACUGGAGAGAUUGUGUUGAAGGCUGUUUGUAAUUAUUGUAUUGAUAAGAAGUAUGCGUAUACGCAAGGUGGCAGCACCUCAACUAUUGGAAGGCAUCAUUUAAAAUGUAAGAAUUACAAGGCCAAGAUGGCUAGGGAUGCCAUCCAAACAACUCUGGAAUUGCGCAAAAUCAAUGGUACAGCAAGUGGUCCAACAAUGCACCCCUCUAUUGAGUAUGACCAAGGAAUUGUGAAGGAGCUUAUUGCUAAGAUGAUAUGUGUGCAUGAGUAUUCAUUUAGAAUGGUUGAACAUGAGUGGUUCAGCAUUCUAAUGAAGUGCAUGAAUCCAAAUUAUAAACCCAUUGGAAGGAAGGCAAUACGAGCCGAGUGCAUGAGGGUCUACAAGAAAGAAAAAGAGGUGCUUAAAUCUGUCCUAAAGGGUGUGAGCUCCAUAUGUCUAACUACAGAUUUGUGGACAAGCAACCAAACCUUAUCUUACAUGUGUGUGGUUGCACACUACAUAGAUGGGAAUUGGAAUAUGCAAACCCGUGUUCUUGCUUUCAUAGAGUUGGACCCUCCUCACUCUGGAAAUGUCAUUGCGGAUGCUCUCUAUGCUUGUGUGACAGAAUGGAAUAUUGAGACCAAAAUAAUGUCCGUCACACUUGACAACGCUUCAAACAAUGAUGGUGCAGUCGAUGCUUUGAAGGCCAAGUUCUCGUUUCGGAGAGGUAUGCUUGUAUGCAUUCUGUUUUUACACAUAUGCUUGUUGUUUUUGCUCAUAUGCUUGUUGCUAUGCUCAUAUAGAAGCUCUUUGUGCUCAUAUGCUUGCUGUUUUUGCCCACAUGUUUGCUGUUUUUGCUCACAUGCUUGCUAUAUUUGCUCACAUGCUUGCUAUUUUUGCUCAUAUAAAAGUUGUCUAUUGUAGGUAAUGACUUCGAAGGACAGUAUUUUCAUAUCCGUUGUUGUGCACACAUCCUCAACUUGGUCGUGCAAGAUGGGACGGAGGUCUUAGAUAAUUUGAUAAACAGCUUGAGAGAGACGGUGAAGUACUUCAAGAGGUCACCUUCUCGUCUCCAUGCUUUUGUUGCCACUUGCAAAAGCUUGGGUGUCAAAGUUGGUAAUCAUUUACACCUGGAUUGUAAAACAAGGUGGAGUUCAACCUAUAAGAUGAUUAGCAUUGCCCGUGAUUAUAAGGAAGCCUUGACCUCUCAUGCCGGUUCCAAUGCCAACUAUGCUUGGGCGCCGACAAACGCAGAGUGGGACAUGUAUGACCUUAUCUCUCCAUUACUUGAGAGUUUGGCUGAGGUGACAAAUGCAUUUUCAGGAAGUUUAUAUCCCACUUCGAACAUCUUCUAUCCAUACAUUGUUGGUGUCAAGCUUGCAAUCAAACGUGCAAUGACUAGUGAUAGUGACCACUACAAGGAAAUGGGUGAAGCAAUGUUGGAGAAGUUUGACAAAUAUUGGGAAGAAAAGAACAAUGCCAUGGUGAUCGCAACCGUCUUUGAUCCACGGUACAUAUGCUUGCUGUUUUCACUCCAAUGUUUUUUUAUUCAUGUGCUUGCUGUUUUUUUAUUAUUGUGCUUGCUAUUUUUUUAUUAUUGUGCUUGCUGUUUUUUUAUUCAUGUGCUUGCUAAUUCACUCCAAUGCUAUCAUCUUUCAUCCUAGGUACAAGAUGAAUUACAUAGAGUGGGCCUUUGGAGAACUAUAUGGAGUAGGAAGUACGAGGUGUAGGACUGAGAUGAAAAUCGUGGAGAAAGAGUUGGCGACCUUGUAUGACAAAUGUGUUUCCCAAGAUAAGCGAGCUGGAAAUGGAGAAAGUGUAUCUUCCUCUAUAAACAUUCCUAGUAUCCCGGUUCAAGCUGGGUAUGAGUCCUUCUUAUCGUCCCGUUCAACAAGAAUAUCAAAAAGUGAGUUGAGGAACUACUUAGAGGAUGCGGUUGAACCUCGCAACAAGGCUCUUGAUCUUCUUGGUUGGUGGAAAGUCAAUGCUCCUAGGUACCCAAUUAUGGCCAAGAUAGCCAGGAGGUUCCUUACUAUCCCGGCUACCUCCGUGUCUUCAGAAUCUACCUUCAGCACGACCGGAAGGAUUUUAGGUAUGUCAACUCGUACUAAUGAACUUUGGAUAUAAACUUGUCAAGUUCUCAUCCUCAAACUAGUUUGUCUACUUGUGUGUAUUAGAUGACUACAGGAGUUCGUUAAAACCGGUUAUGGUGGAGGCAUUAGUUUGUGGUGCAAGUUAUAUAAAGGGUGCUCACGUUGACUUGAAUCUGGUGGUAUGUUUGCCAUCUUUUCCUUACCCUUUUCUUUCUUUCUUUUUUGGUCUUGUUGUGAUGUGAGCAUUUGUCGAACUUCCACACUUGUAGCCGAGGGAUGAGAAUGAAGAGGAUGAUGUUGAAACCAUCAAGUUACCCAUCGUGGAGGAGAUCAACGAUUGGUAACAAUUCUUCCUACAUGUUUCACUUGGUAUACGAUACCAAACAUUAUUUAUGUGAAUGUUGCUUAUCUUGUAGACACUCAUCAUGUGGAUGUUGAUCUUGAUCUUGCUAUUUUGGAGACGAAUGUCAAAGUGAUCUUUCUCAUGGGAAGGCUACUUUUGCAUUUGGGUUAUGUUCGAACUUGUCAAGUCAUGAACUGUGAAAUGUCACAACUAGCUUGGAGAUGAACCUCUCAUUUGUGUUAUGUUCAACUUGCCAAUUGACAUGGACUUGAAAUUGUCAUUGCAAGUUUGUAAUCGUGUCGUUCAAUGAUGAUAAGACAUUAUGUUUGUGGAUGUGGUAUUUGUGUUGCUUAACCUGAUUUGUGCUAUGUUUGCUGUCAAAAUCAGUUGUUUUGAUGUCCAAAAAACAAAGGAAAUGCUGUCCGAAUGUAGUUAUUUUUACUGUCCAAAUUUAGUCCAGUGCCUGCUGUCCAAAUGAAUUGUUUGUGGAUGUGAUAUAUCUGCUGUUCCUGUCCAAACUUACCUGAAAAUGUAGUGAGGAGUGAUGACUUAUCAUAUUACAUCCAUUCGUAAGCUUGUCACUAUGUGAUGCCUAAACAGUAGCUAAACUUAUCUACUUGUUGUUGCACUUUUGCUUUAUUUACUCUCCAAAAACAACAGAUGCCUAAACUGAUGACUAGUCUAUUGCAUGUUCUAGCAUACACUUUGCUCCUUCUCUGAAUAAUAGGACCGGCAGCAUGCAUAUGUCCACGUACAGUCAGUAGCUCAGCUAGUUUCGCUCAAGACCAGGUCAUGGGAUGGAUCGUGCGAUCGGCAGCUACCUGCAACUGCAUAAACAACAGCUAAAUAUGACCUAUACGCAGCAAAAUACAGUCUGCCAGGCAAGGUGACGGGCCGGUCCAUUCGGUCCUCUCGGGCUUGACCGAGCUGGCCCCCAAACGGUCCGGUCCCAGAAAAGGAGCUCGUUGGACAGCUCGGUCCGGUCCGGACCGGACCGCCGGCGGCCGGUCCAAGUGGCGGCUCGGACCGGGACCGGACCGGCCCGGACCGUGUCCACCCUGAUGUACAUGCCAUUGUCCUUUACUUCCCGAGAGCAUUUAAGAAAGCAAGCCUGACUACGUGAAAGGGGUUCCAAUUCGACUUCCAUGUUGUAAUGGUAUCUAGAGGGAGGCCGAUUCCACCGAGGUAGAGGGCAGCUGUUGUAUAAAUCCAUGUUGGCAUCGAUGACCCAGAAGGAAGAACCACUGUAGUUGAUGGCAGGCACAUAGUAUGUUGCAUCGUCGAUGCGAAUUGCGGCCUUGGUAUCACUGCAAAUUAGCUCAUAAGAUUGAUAACCACACCCAGGAGGAUCACUUGCCUGACGAAAUGGGAACGAUACAUUUCUAAGAGGGCCGCACGAGAAAGAAGGACAAUCAGGGUCAUGAUGCCGCCCUUCAGCCUGACUUGCAGCAAGAACUGCAAGCACACAUAAGAAGGUUAGGGAGUUGAGAACAGCGGGCAUCACCAUGGCAAGCUGUUUCACAGAAGCACAGAUACACAGAGGAACGGUCAAAUGAAGGUGUGGCUGCCAAAGUUUUUAUUUUUCUUAACUCCAAAAGUGGGUUUUUCGUUGGGGCGUAACCCUCUCAGCAACGCGCCACAUCGGAACCCGGGUGUGGUGGAAAAUGGGCAAGGGCCGGGCCGUCACCCCCCAAGUGGCGCGCCGUAUCUUGAUCCGGAUACGGUGGCAAGUGAGCGAGGAUCGGGUCGUCGCAUCCUUAGUGGCGCGCUACAUCGGCGCCCGGAUGUAGUGGAAAAUGAGCAAGGGUCUUCGCAUUUGACUUGACGAGUGCGAAGGGUAAGGAAGCUAGCCGGGCCUAGGAGGAUUCGCUUAGGUAGCUGGAACGUAGGGUCUCUGACAGGGAAGCUUCGGGAGCUAGUUGAUGCAGCAGUGAGGAGAGGUGUUGAUAUCCUUUGCGUCCAAAAAACCAAAUGGAGAGGACAGAAGGCGAAAGAGGUGGAGGAUACCGGCUUCAAGCUGUGGUACACGGGGACGGCUACAAACAGAAAUGGCGUAGGCAUCUUGAUCAACAAGAGCCUCAAGUAUGGAGUGGUAGACGUCAGGAGACGUGGGGACCGGAUUAUCCUGGUCAAGCUGGUAGUUGAGGACUUGGUUCUCAAUGUUAUCAGCGCAUAUGCCCCGCAAGUAGGCCACAAUGAGAACACCAAGAGGGAGUUCUGGGAAGGCUUGGAAGACAUGGUUAGGAGUGUACCGAUUGGUGAGAAGCUCUUCAUAGGAGGAGACCUCAAUGGCCACGUGGGUACAUCUAACACAGGUUUUGAAGGGGCGCAUGGGGGCUUUGGCUAUGGCAUCAGGAAUCAAGAAGGAGAAGAUGUCUUAAGCUUUGCUCUAGCCUACAACAUGAUUGUAGCUAACACCCUCUUUAGAAAGAGAGAAUCACAUCUGGUGACUUUUAGUAGUGGCCAACACUCUAGCCAGAUUGAUUUCAUCCUCUCGAGAAGAGAAGAUAGGCGUGCGUGCCUAGACUGUAAGGUGAUACCUGGGGAGAGUGUUGUACCCCAGCAUAAGCUGGUGGUUGCUGACUUCCGCUUUCAGAUUCGUGUCCAGCGGGAUAAGCGUGCCAAGGUCGCUAGAACGAAGUGGUGGAAGCUCAAGGGGGAGGUAGCUCAGGUGUUCAAGGAGAGGGUAUUUAAGGAGGGCCCUUGGGAGGAAGGAGGGGAUGCGGACAAUGUGUGGAUGAAGAUGGCGACUUGCAUUCGUAAGGUGGCCUCGGAGGAGUUUGGAGUGUCCAGGGGAAGGAGAAGCGAAGAUAAGGAUACCUGGUGGUGGAAUGAUGAUGUCCAGAAGGCGCUUAAAGAGAAGAAAGAUUGCUUCAGACGCCUAUACCUGGAUAGGAGUGCAGACAACAUAGAGAAGUACAAGAUGGCGAAGAAGACCGCAAAGCGAGCUGUUGGUGAAGCAAGGGGUCGGGCAUAUGAGGACCUCUACCAACGGUUAGGCACGAAGGAAGGUGAAAGGGACAUCUAUAAGAUGGCUAAGAUCCGGGAGAGGAAGACGAGGGAUAUUGGCCAAGUCAAAUGCAUCAAGGACGGAGCAGGCCAACCCUUGGUGAAGGACGAAGAGAUUAAGCAUAGAUGGCGGGAGUACUUCGACAAGCUGUUCAAUGGGGAGAAUGAGAGUUCUACCAUUGAACUGAAUGACUCCUUUGAUGAGACCAGCAUGCGUUUUGUGCGGCGCAUCCAGGAGUCUGAGGUGAAGGAGGCUUUAAAAAGGAUGAAAGGAGGCAAGGCGAUGGGCCCUGAUUGUAUCCCCAUUGAGGUGUGGAAAGGUCUCGGGGACAUAGCGAUAGUAUGGCUAACCAAACUUUUCAACCUCAUUUUUCGGGCAAACAAGAUGCCAGAAGAAUGGAGACGGAGUAUAUUAGUACCAAUCUUCAAGAACAAGGGAGAUGUUCAGAGUUGUACUAAUUACCGUGGAAUUAAGCUGAUGAGCCAUACAAUGAAGCUAUGGGAGAGAGUCAUUGAGCACCGCUUAAGAAGAAUGACAAGCGUGACCAAAAAUCAGUUUGGUUUCAUGCCUGGGAGGUCGACCAUGGAAGCCAUUUUCUUGGUACGACAACUUAUGGAGAGAUAUAGGGAGCAUAAGAAGGACUUGCAUAUGGUGUUCAUUGACUUGGAGAAGGCCUAUGAUAAGAUACCGCGGAAUGUCAUGUGGUGGGCCUUGGAGAAACACAAAGUCCCAGCAAAGUACAUUACCCUCAUCAAGGACAUGUACAAUAAUGUUGUGACAAGUGUUCGAACAAGUAAAGUCGACACCGAUGACUUCCCGAUUAAGAUAGGACUGCAUCAGGGGUCAGCUUUGAGCCCUUAUCUUUUUGCAUUGGUGAUGGAUGAGGUCACAAGGGGUAUACAAGGAGAUAUCCCAUGGUGUAUGCUCUUUGCGGAUGAUGUGGUGCUAGUUGACGAUAGUCGGACGGGGGUAAAUAGGAAGUUAGAGUUAUGGAGACAAACCUUGGAAUCGAAAGGGUUUAGGCUUAGUAGAACUAAAACCGAGUACAUGAUGUGCGGUUUCAGUACUACUAGCUGUGAGGAGGAGGAGGUUAGCCUUGAUGGCCAGGUGGUACCUCGGAAGGACACCUUUCGGUAUUUGGGGUCAAUGUUGCAGGAGGAUGGGGGUAUUGAUGAAGAUGUGAACCAUCGAAUCAAAGCCGGAUGGAUGAAGUGGCGCCAAGCUUCUGGCAUUCUCUGUGACAAGAGAGUGCCACAAAAGCUAAAAGGCAAGUUCUACAGGACGGCGGUUCGACCCGCAAUGUUGUAUGGCGCGAGUGUUGGCCGACUAAAAGGCGACAUGUUCAACAGUUAGGUGUGGCGGAGAUGCGUAUGUUGAGAUGGAUGUGUGGCCACACGAGGAAGGAUCGAGUCCGGAAUGAUGAUAUACGAGAUAGAGUUGGGGUAGCACCAAUUGAGGAGAAGCUUGUCCAACAUCGUUUGAGAUGGUUUGGGCAUAUUCAGCGCAGGCCUCCAGAAGCUCCAGUGCAUAGCGGACGGCUAAAGCGUGCGGAGAAUGUCAAGAGAGGGCGGGGUCGACCGAUUUUGACAUGGGAGGAGUCCGUUAAGAGAGACCUGAAGGAUUGGAGUAUCGACAAAGAGCUAGCUAUGGACAGGGGUGCGUGGAAGCUUGCUAUCCAUGUGCCAGAGCCAUGAGUUGGUUGCGAGAUCUUAUGGGUUUCACCUCUAGCCUACCCCAACUUGCUUGGGACUAAAGGCUUUGUUGUUGUUGUUGUUGUUGUUUGUAACUCCAAAAGUGGGUAAUUACAUGCCAACUAGUGGCUCUACAUGACAGUGAUGUUGUUGACUAGGAGACUUGGCUACUUCCUGCCAAGCCAAAGUUAGGUAAAUACAUACAGCCUACUGGCUUAUCUAGGUGAUGGUGAUGUUCUUGACUCCAGACCUCUAGAUUAAUGGGACCGAGUCCAAGUGUACUACUCUAGUCACAAUUCUGUCCUAGUCAUGAUAACAUGGAAUUCAAUGUCUUAAGACAAUGACAAAUAACAGGGACAGAAAAUGACAAAUACUAACUAAAUAUCAUUCAUUUGAGAUAUUAAAGUAGGGUAGAACUAAAGUAGUUCUAUUUUUUUUAAUAGAUCUACUUAUAGCUGAACUACUUUCUUACACCCCUCCUCUACAUAACUAACUACCAAAUUUUGUUUAAUAUCUUUAGCACCAAGUUUACAUUAUAUGGGCAGAUGCAUUUGAAAUUUACCUGGUUUCUAUUCCCUGCAAAUUGGAACGGAAAGCAUUUCAACAGCGCACGGCUGAUACCAUACAAAAAUAAAGUAAUAUCUGUUUUUUUUCCUUUACAGGAGUAACUGACAGCAUUUCCAUAGUGUCUGGCUAAUUAUUUCUGACGAUGACUGCACUACAGCCAGUCAGACUGUAAGCACUCCUCGUCGGUCAUUCAGCUAUCAAAAAAAGUCACCAAGCCAUAUCAUAGUACAAAACUAUCCACAUGUUGAUAGGGAGUCUAAAUAUGGUUGGUAUAUAUGCCAUAGAAAUCCCUAAUGUAUAUGAAAUGGUUUUCACUUCAAUUCACAUUCUGAUGGUAAACUGUACGGCAACAGAUGUUACAAUAAUUUGUAGUAGUACAGUUAAGAGUCACAGGGUGGUAAAACCAUGGAAUACACUGGCCAUAGCCAUGGCAGACUGGUUCACAGAAGCACAGACUGGAUAGCAAGGGUACUUACAACAGAAGUACGGUAACUGCAUACCAGCUACAGACUCUACGGACUUUACAUGACUGAUCUUCAUCAUAGCAAUGGGACCCAUGAAAAAUUGGUUGCUCAUUCAAGCACAGUCCUUUCAGAUAAUGAGGCUACAUACACUAGAACCUAACUUAAUUUACUUGGCAGGCAACCUUGGAGGUUCGGUACUCCCUCCGUUCACUUUUGUAAGAGGUUUUAGACAUUUAAGACAACACCUAAAACAGUUCAAUUUUGGCUGUCUAAAAUGUCUUACAUAAAUGAACAGAGGGAGUAUUCAACACUAUGUACUCUUUUCCUCUGAUCCAGUGAGCAAAGCCUAACGUGCAUGCUUGCUUGUCCAAACCACCUAGCUCAUUCACUUCGAUUAUCCACUCCCCUUAUAUUGGAUAGCAGUAUAUGAUACUGCCAUGAGACAUGGGUGCCAUAUACUGAAACUUUUUUUUGCGGGUAUAUACUGAAACUUUGCGCAAAAGAGUAGCAUAUCCUGAAAUCUGGCUUACAAUAUUCUUUUGUUGUGCUUGACUCGAAUAUCGCGUCAACUCUUCCUUUUUGAAGGCCAACUUGUGCUAUCAGGAAUUAAAUGGUAGAAUGUGAUAGGAAGGGAACUACUACUUGGAGACUAAGAAGAAAUAAUUAGUUGAGUCCACAGUGGUGAGCAGAAAAUGAAAGAGAACUUGAGCACGUGUUGGUCUAGCAUUAGAGGAAGAGUCAAAGUGCAUUCUGGUCCAAUUAUGUCAGUCUCCUAGUAAUGUGUGGAAUCCAACAGCAUAAAAAAAAAAGGCAACCUGGUGCAUGUAGCUCCCGCUUGCGCAGGGUCCAGGGAAGGGUCCGACCACUUUGGGUCUAUAGUACGCAGCCUUUCCCUACAUUUCUGUAAGAGGCUGUUUCCAGGACUUGAACCCAUGACCUCAUGGUCACAAGGCAGCAGCUUUACCACUGCGCCAUUAGUAAUGUGUGGAAUCCAACAGCAUAUAUAUUUUAAUUACAGGGAUAUGUACAUACAGCCAAGGGUGAUGAAGGCUUUAAAGCAACAAACUGCAGAAGGAUAUGUUUCGGUGGCAGUUGGACUUCCUGCCCAGACAUGUAACUAUCAUGACAAGUGCCACCCCAAUCCUCACCAGAGAUUAAAGCAGACAACCACUUUCUUAUACUCCAGACUUUCUCUUCUUCCAUCUAAAUCUCCAAUUCAUCUCAUGGAUUUUCCUAAACUUCUUGUCAUGCUAGUGCUGCUCUGUCUUCUAACCAAUGAAUCCUAUGUGGGUGCAGCAUCAGAUGAUGAGGAUUUCUUCAAGAAAUGCUCAUCACAACGGUGCAGCAAACAUGGACCAAAGAUCCAGUUCCCCUUCCGGCUUUCAACCCAACCAACAUCCUGUGGAGCAGCUGGCAUGCAGUUAUCAUGCUCUGGGCAUGACACGAUCUUGGAUCACCCUGUUCUUGGUUCUUGCAAAGUGACUGCGAUAUAUUACAUGCACCGCGUCAUUAACAUCAUCCCGCUUGUGGAACCAUUGACGCAAUGCCCACUUCAGAAGCUCAUCUCGAGAAAGUUAGAAACUGGUGUGUACAAACAACCUCAAUCAUUUACGACCCUGGUACGUUGUUCCAAGAAUUUCAUACCAGCAGAUCCAUAUAGUAUAGUCGGCCCAGCUCCUUGUGUCAGUAGCAACGCUAGCCAAUUCUUGUAUUUGGCAUUAGCUUCCGCAUACAUAUCUGAUCUACCAUGGGACUGUGUGGCCAUUUCUAAAGGUAUCCCGAUACCCUUCAGCUAUGAUAAACAUGGCCCUAACUCGGACCCCUCCAGUGAAAUAGCAAAGGCAGUCGUCAACUUUGGUGCGACAACCUUCACUUGGCACCUCAGUAACAUUACCGAUGUCUGCCAACAGUGUGAACAUCAAGGUCGAUACUGUGGAUUCAGCUCACAAAGGCGUCAAGCAUUCUGCCAGCACCAUGGUAUUAUUUCUUUCCCUAACUGAAAUCCAUAUAUCAUUAUGGUGUGGAAAUUUAUUUAAGAACAGCAUUAUAGAUUUUCUGCUUCUCAAUGUACUAGUUUGUUGAUCUCCUAUAUUCUGAUGUUAACUGUGUUUAAUCUUCCGACAGAAUUCUCAAUCUAGUAGUUAUAUUAUUUAACAAACAAAAUUGUAUUGCAAAUCAGAGAAAUCGUUAAGUUGCUUGAGCACAUACAGUCUCUAGGUUCACAUCCAUGAAAGUUCCCCAAAGAAAAAACAUUUAUCAAGAGAUGCAAGUGCCAAAUUAUAUGGGAAAACUUAUGAUGGUUGACUAAUUUGUAAAAUUCUUGGGCAACAAAAAGUAAGAGCUGAACCUUAUUUGACCAUUUUCAUAUUUGUUUAGUUUUUCAGAUUGGAUAUGAAUAAAUAAGUGUACAGCUAUAACAUAACAAAGAAUAUAUUAAUCGAUAUAACACCCUAUGUUCGAGGUCCAAUAUACUUGAAGCCAACAGGAAGCUACCAAAUAUAUAUGUCCACAGAGAACUCGUGUAAGAAUCAGGAAUUAGUUGUUCCAAACAUAAUUCAUAGAGUAAUGAAGUAGUCUUCUGUUUCUGUCUACAUUAAAAUUAAAGCAUGGAAAAACUAAUGAUAUUCUUCCUACAUGCAGGUACCCAUGUCAUCCCAAUUGCGGGUAAUGUUGCAACUCUUUUCCUUUUUCUCAUUCUAGAUGAAAUUCUUAUUGCUUACCACUGUGAAUCUUUUGUGUUUCCUCAUUACAAUAAGAGUCAGGAAUGCAUGGCCUCUUAUCUGAAUGCAACUCGCUAAUUUCCUUUUUUUUUAAUCAGCAGCCUCAUCUGUAGCUGCAUUUGUAGUUCUUUCAUUGAUUGUGGCCACUGUGAUAUAUCUCUCCUUGAAGUCAAGGUACAAUGAAGAGAUAAAUAUGAAGGUUGAAAUGUUUCUCAAGGCAUAUGGCACAUCGAAACCUACAAGAUACACCUUCCCUGAUGUUAAGAAGAUAGCAAGAAGGUUCAAGGAUAAACUCGGUCAGGGCGGAUUCGGAAGUGUGUACAAAGGCGAGCUACCAAAUGGAGUACCUGUGGCAGUCAAGAUGCUAGAGAGUUCUACAGGAGAGGGGGAGGAAUUCAUCAAUGAAGUUGCAACCAUUGGACUAAUCCACCAUGCAAAUAUCGUACGCCUCUUGGGCUUUUGCUCUGAAGGAAUGAGACGGGCCCUUAUUUAUGAAUUCAUGCCUAAUGAGUCACUGGAGAAAUACAUAUUCACACAUGUUUCUAAUAUUUCUCGACAACUCCUAGCACCCAACAAAAUGUUAGAUAUUGCUUUAGGCAUUGCCCGAGGAAUGGAAUACAUGCAUCAAGGUUGCAACCAGCGGAUUCUCCACUUUGACAUCAAGCCACACAACAUCCUGCUGGACUACAACUUCAAUCCAAAGAUCUCUGACUUUGGCCUUGCAAAGCUGUGUGCAAGGGACCAAAGCAUUGUUACGCUCACAGCAGCCAGAGGAACUAUGGGAUACAUCGCACCGGAGCUAUACUCUCGAAACUUUGGAGGGGUGUCAUACAAGUCAGAUGUGUAUAGUUUUGGCAUGCUGGUGUUGGAAAUGGUGAGUGGAAGGAGGAACUCAGACCCAAGUGUUGAGAUCCAGGACGAGGUAUACCUCCCUGAGUGGAUCUAUGAGAAAGUGAUUUCUAGGCAGGAAUGGGAGCUUACUCUGGAAAUGACAGCAGAAGACAAAGACAAGAUUAGACAGCUGAGUAUUGUGGGGCUGUGGUGCAUCCAGUGGAACCCAAAGAAUAGGCCGUCGAUGACGAAGGUGGUAAACAUGUUAACUGGGAGGCUGCAGAACCUGCAGAUUCCACCAAAGCCCUUUGUGUCGUCUGACAUUCGUCCUAUGCCACAGAACACGACGAACACAUGAACAUGCAUUGUGUGUGUUUUUGUGUGUAUCAUUACACGCCUGAGGGAACUUAUCUCGCAUCUGCGUUGUAAACUGUAAUUCCUUGGCCAAUGUUCGAUUACAUACUGAACUACAUGGGAUUUUGCAGUACCGCUAACACUGCAUCUGUAUCUUACUACCAUAUUGUAAUUCUAUUAAUUAGAAACACACGGCACUGGAUUUUGCAGCCAUUUCUUGGCAAUGCUGUGAUAAUAUGAAUCUUAACCAGUCAUUGAUGUGAUUUUAUCCCCUUUCCGCCAUAACUGAUAGUACUGCUGUAAGCUCUUUCUAAUACAGAGAUGCGCAUAUAGGCUGCUUAUAUUCUAGAAAAAGAGAUUACUUACUACUGGUAGAAACUCAGCAUUCUUGUUCGGAAAUCAAAAGAAGAGCAAAGGGGAUUACUCACCAUGGCAGACAGCUUCCGCCGGAGUCCCUCGCCGGAGCCCCGAUGAGACGCGAGCGAGGCGGUGUGCCGGAGUAGGACGAGGAGCUCGCCCAGCCGGCGGAGAAUGUGAGCGGUAACUGGGCGAGCUCGACUGCGUCGCCGGCCGCCGGCCGCCGGCAGCCGCCUAGGGUACAAACUGGCACCCGUUCCCCAUUUGGAUAAACCAGAGUUUUUUUUUUGUUUUUGGACAAACGGAUAAACAAGAGUAGGGCCUUUGUUGGGCCGCCCUGUGGGCUGACCCAUCUCAUGCUAACAAACAAUACGAAGAAUUGGUCAGAAAUUUUGAUCGCACUGGGGAUUGUUGGGCCGCCCUGUCGGCAGCUAUUCGUUUUCAAAAUUUAUACUUAGUUCGCAAAAAGAACUAUUCAAUUUUUUUCCUCCACACGAUUCUAUAAAAAAAAUUGGGUUCCACCAUGUACGAACAAAAAGGUAAAAUAAACUAUUCAAACUUUUCUUUUCUUCCAUAUAUGAUCCCUACAAAAUAGGAUUCCACAAUCAAAAGACAACGGAACAAAAGGUCAAAUUUGAGACGAAAAUUUCUGUUUUAAGGUAUUAGACAACAUCUAACAGUUCCCUGAUCAUAUACUCCUUAACUUAUAAUUUUUAUCUCUUGAAACUUUCCCUCACUUCCCUACUUUUACUUCAAUAAAGAUGCGCAACUCUCGGGAUAAGUGAGGAGUUGCUCACCUUCCAAAGUAAUGCAUAAGUGGUUCGCGCGUCACCCGAGUCGAUCACCACCGGUUAUAAAACCCUGGCACCACGCCCCCAAAUCCUAAGGCUAGCCAUAGUGGGGGUAACUUAGAUAGUAACUUAACACAUCCCAAGACAAUUUUGUUUAUGUGGCAAGUAUUUAAUGAGAAAAUAGGUGCUUGUGGUAACAUAAUAUGUUACUAUAACAUAACGCUUUCCAAGGCAAAAUGAGUCUAUGGGCUAAUAAAUAAAGCAAUCUAUGACACUACUAGUAUGUUACUUUGCACUAUGAAGCUAGUAACUUAGAUGCAUGACACUAGUAUAAGUUACUCCCCACUAUGACCAGCCUAAAACUCACCUCCCCCCACCCCAUUUUUGUUGCCUCCUCUAUCGAUUUGGUUUGCCGCCUCCGCCAUCCUCGAGCUUGACCUCGUCGCUACCCUUGAGCACCGCCGCACCCAAGCUCCGCACUGCCACCCCAAUCUCCCAUGCCUCCUUGAUACGUCUUUAACGUAUUUAUAAUUUUUUUAUUCUUUCAUGCUAUUAUAUUAUCAAUCUUGUCAGCUUUAUAUGCAAUUUUAUAUUUAGAACUAACCUAUUACUCUAGUGCCAGUGGUAAUUCCUAUUUUUGCCUCUUUUAUUAUUUCGCAAAAAACAAUACCAAAUGAAGUCCAAACGCGAUGAAACUUUACAGUGAUGAAAUGGCAGAGCACCACCAUGUUGAGCCCCUGACCCCCUGGACUCCCAAGGUCGAGCCUUCACGAAGUAACCGAUGCCAAUGUGUCGUCACCACUGUGAAACACAAUGGUUGGAACACCGUACCCUGUUCUGGGCGACGACUUCGUGUUAUAUAGCAGGGUCGCGACUCCCUGAUCGCGUACAUGAGGUGGUUCAGAUUACAACUUGUAGUGCAAGCGAUAGACUAGGAGGUUACAGAGAGAUAAGAUGAAAUCCUAACAACCUAGCUAUCUGCCGUACGCCAAGAGGUCAGGGCCUUCUUGUCACGUACGUUUAACACCCUCCCUUAAUCACAACUUUGCAAGUUGAGAUUACACUUGAAUUCUUCAAAGUUCCUUGUAGGCAGCGCCUUUGUGAAGCUAUCUGCAACCUGGUCUCUGGAAUGCACAAAACAAAUCUCCAAUUGUCUGUUAGCAACUCUUUCUCUAACAAAGUGGAAAUCUAUCUCAAUGUGUUUUGUUCGUGCAUGAAAGACAGGGUUAGCGGAUAAAUAUGUUGCACCCAGAUUGUCACACCAUAAGCAUGGAGCCUGAGUGCAUUUCACACCAAGUUCCUUUAACAUGGACUGAACCCAAAUGAUCUCUGCUGUGGCAUUGGCAAGUGCCUUGUAUUCAGCUUCUGUACUUGAUCUUGACACAGUAGCUUGUUUCUUAGCACACCAAGAUAUGAGAUUGGGUCCAAAGAACACAGCAAACCCAUCAGUAGAGCGUCUGUCAUCCAAACAACCUGCCCAGUCAGAGUCAGAAAACACACUGACAAGAGUAGAUGAAGAUUUGCUAAAGGUGAGACCAACACUCAUAGUGUUUUUGAUAUAUCUCACUAUACGCUUGGCAGCAGUCCAGUGAACUGUGGUGGGUGCAUGGAGGAAUUGGCACACUUUGUUGACAGCAAAUAAGAUAUCAGGCCUUGUUAGGGUGAGGUAUUGAAGUGCUCCAACUAAACUUCUGUACCUGGUGCUGUCAUCCUGACUCAAUGGAUCACCUUCUACAAGGGACAAUUUUUCUGUGCUAGACAAGGGAGUUGGUGAAGGUUUGCAAUCUUUCAGACCAACUCUUCUUACCAAAUCAACAGCAUAUUUUUCCUGAGAGAGAUGCAGACUGUCUCCAAGCUUCUUCACUUUAAUGCCUAAGAAGAAGUGCAAAUCUCCCAGAUCCUUGAGAGCAAACUCAGCACUCAAAUCCUUUAACAGUCAUGUCACUGCCUCAUCAGAUGAACUUGUGACAAUAAUAUCAUCAACAUAAAUGAGCACAAAUAUGGAUGUUUUGAACUUGUUGUAAAUAAACAGUGAUGUGUCAGACUUGGAAGAAACAAAACCAAGUUCUUGCAGUUUCUGACUGAGACGUGAAUACCACGCCCUAGGAGCCUGCUUCAAUCCAUAAAGAGCUUUAUCAAGCUUACAUACGUGGAAGGGUGAGUUUUUGUCGACGAACCCAGGAGGUUGUUUCAUGUACACUUCCUCCUCCAGAACACCAUGCAGAAACGCGUUCUGAACAUCUAGCUGUCUAAGGCUCCAACCCCUGGAAAGAGCAAUAGAUAGAACAAGACGGAUGGUAGCAGCUUUAACAACGGGACUAAAGGUGUCCUCAUAAUCUAUGCCAUACCGUUGCUUAAAACCUUUUGCUACUAGUCUUGCUUUAUAACGGUCUAUGGUUCCAUCAUAUUUUCUCUUAAUCCUGUAGACCCACUUACAGUCAAUUAAAUUUUUACCUCAUGGUGUCGGAACCAAGUGCCAUGUUUUAUUUUUCUGAAGUGCCAUAUAUUCUUCUUCCAUAGCCCUCUUCCAACAAGCAUCUCCAAGUGCUUCAUCCAGAGAGUUUGGUUCUCCUGUAGAACACGCCAGACCAAAUUUGGUUACACGUUUGUAAUUAAUAGGCUGGAUUACCCCUUUCUGAAGACGUGUACGUGGCGAAGAAGGAGCUGGCGCAGAGGAUCCGGCAGCUGACGAUCCCAGCAAUCCCGAGGCAGAUUCCCCCGAUGCAGCAGGAUUUUCUAUGGCUUCUGAAGUAGACGGAGUGGAGAGGGGCGGCACAGAAGAUCCCGCACCGCAUCCCGAAGAGGCAACCGGCCCAUCAUGCUGCAAUGAUGGCGCGGGCCUGAGCGGAUCUGCACCGGAUCGCGCGCCUACGUCUGGAGCAGCAUCGGAUCGACCGCCUGUCAAAUCCGCACUGGACCGCGGGCGCCUGGUGUAGUGGCACGGCCCACCAGCAGGCCAGCGAGCCGCAACAGGCCGCGUGGAUGUGGAGGAUUGGUGCGGGCCAGGUGCCGUGUCGGAGCCAGCCGCACCAAGCCGCGUGCCAGCCGCUGAGUGGACAGCGCCGCGCCUGGUAGAAGGCGACGCGGUUUUUGUGGCGCUGGCGUUCUGCAGCCGCGCUGAUCCCGAGGAAGAUUGGCUGCUGGGCUGCUGCAACCCUGAUCCCGAGGGAGAUAUGCCCCCAAACGCAGGACACAUGAAAUCAUGCCUGUUUAGGAUCGUUUCUUCACCAAUUUCAGUAGUUUCUUGUCCACCUUUUUCCUGAGAUGUAUCUGCAUCAUCACAAUACUCAUGCACACGGUUAUGAGGAUUAGUCAACAAAGGAUCAUCACAAUUAUUUUCCCCAUGCUCAAGGCCGGUAAGAUGAGAUGGUAAGAGUAAUAUUUCUUUGCGAAGGAGAGCACCGGCGUUUGGAUGGAGGUCAGCAGAGGGGAAUUUUGUUUCGUCGAACACGACAUCACGGGAGAUAUAGACACGUCCGGUGGAUAUGUCAAGACACUUCACCCCUUUAUGUUGAGCACUAUAUCCGAUAAAAGCACACUGUUUUGAGCGAAACAUGAGCUUGCGAUUGUUGUAUGGCCUGAGGUUAGGCCAACAGGCGCAUCCAAACACACGAAGAGCUGUGUAGUCUGGUUUAACUUGAAGAAGUCGUUCAAUGGGUGUUUCAUUAUUAAUGACACGACUAGGCAGUAUGUUGAUAAGAUGGACGGCGGUGAGGAAUGCCUCAUCCCAAAAUUUGAGGGGCAUAGAUGCACCAGCUAGAAGAGCAAGACCAACCUCUACGAUGUGUCUGUGUUUGCGUUCUGCAGACCCGUUUUGUUGGUGAGCGUGAGGACAGGAGACAUGGUGAGAUAUGCCAAGUUCUUGAAAUAAAGAGUUGAGUUUUUCAUAUUCCCCGCCCCAGUCGGACUGGACGGCUAUGAUUUUGCUAUCGAAUUUUCGUUCAACAAGAGCUUGAAAGUUUUUGAAAACUUGGAACACUUCGGAUCUUUUCUUUAAAAGAUAGAUCCAUGAGUAUUUGCUAUAGUCAUCAAUGAAACUAACGUAGUAUGUAUGUCUACCAACAGAGGAGGGUGCAGGGCCCCAAACAUCAGAAAAAAUAAGUUGCAAAGGUUUGGUAGAAAUACUAGUAGACACAGGAUAAGGUAGUUGAUGACUCUUAGCUCGCUGACAUGAAUCACAAAUUGUUUCGACAUUGUGUUCUCAAACAAAUGGGAGCUUAUUUUUCCUAAGCAAUUUCUCAACUAAAGAAAAAGAUGCAUGUCCUAAACGAUCAUGCCAUCGUGUAGACGAAAGUUUGGUGGCACUAAAAACUUGUUUAUUGAAUCUUCGAAUCUCUGAAAUCAACGGGUAGAGUCCAUGAACGCAUCUACCUCGAUACAACACCUUCCUCGUUGCCUGAUCCUUGAUCAAAAAGAAGAAGGGGUGAAACUCAAGAAAUACAUGGUUAUCAAUGGCAAUGCGAUGAACGGAGAGAAGGUUCAUUGAGGCACUAGGAACAUGCAAAAUUUUCCUAAGAUGAAUUUUCCUACGAGGGGUUUUAAUAAUUGAAUGACCAAUGUGACCGAUCUUCAUACCUUCUCCACUAGCAGUGUGGAUGUGAUCUUGCCCGCGGUAUUGUUCCCGCAUGGUCACCUUCUCGAGUUCACCGGUGAUGUGGUUCGUGGCUCCACUAUCCACAUACCAGUUUGUGUCCACGCCAUAUGAUCCAUCUGCUGCACCCGCCAUCUUCUCAUCUUGAUCUGAAUCCUCAUCUUCAUCAAACCUGUACCAGCAGUCCUUGGCUGAAUGGCCAGGCUUGCCGCAGAUCUGACAACGGAUGGCGUCAGGGCGCUUGGUGGAGUUGUUGCGGCGGCCCCUGUUGUUGUUGUUGGAGGAGGUGACCGCCGCCGUUGCUGCCAUUCCCGCGUGCAUCGCUGCGAGAGUCGCUGCGGGAGUUGUUGUAGUUGGUGCCUCCUGCACUCCUGCCCUUCCCGCGCGGCGGCCCGCGGUACCGUGAGCCACCACCUCGGCCGCGCAUGGCGGCGUUAGCAUACGACUUGAAGCCGCCGUUGGUACCCUGGAACAAGGCCACCCUCUGAUCGAAGUUACUCAUCUGAGCAAACAGUUCGUCAAGGGUGACAGGUGAGGUGCGCGCGUCGAGGGCGGAGACGAGGGGCUGGUACUCCAUGUCCAGGACGGCGAGGAUGUAGGAGAUGAGCUCGUCCUCGUCAAGGGGCUUGCCCGCCACGGCCAGUUCGUCGGCGAGGGAGCGCAUGUGCGCGAAGAAGGCCGCGGCGGACUAAGUGCCCUUCUGAGCGUUGGACAGCGCGACGCGGAUGUUGUUGAUGCGUGACAGCGACUGGGACGAAAACAUGUUCGCCACCGCUGUCCACAGCUCAUGGGCAUGGGCGAUCGAUGUCACCUGCACGAGCACCUCCUUGGAAAGGUUAUUGAGAAGGUAUCCUAGUACCUGUUGGUCUUCCCGGAACUAGAUCGGGUGAAGGGGGUUGGGUGUGGUGACCUCCUUCCCGUCUUUGUCCUUGUUGACGACGACCUUGGGCGGCUCCGGCGUGCUGCCAUCCACAUAGCCGAAGACGCCAGCACCAUGAAGCUGAGGCGUGAUCUGGGUCCGCCAGAGGAUGAAGUUGGUGCGGGUAAGCUUCUCGGUGAUCUGGCCAAAGAGACCAGGGCUGGUGGUGGAGGACGAGGCCAUGGCAGAAGCUUUCUGGUAGCUAGAUGCAAUGGAGGAGUUAGGCUCUGUAUACCAUGUGAAACACAAUGGUUGGAACGUCGUACCCUGUUCUGGGCGACGGCUUCGUGUUAUAUAGCAGGGUCGUGACUCCCUGAUCGCGUACAUGAGGUGGUUCAGAUUACAACUUGUAGUGCAAGGGAUAGACUAGGAGGUUACAGAGAGAUAAGAUGAAAUCCUAACAACCUAGCUAUCUGCCGUACGCCAAGGGGCCAGGGCCUUCUUGUCACGUACGUUUAACAACCACCCAAUCAAGAGGUUUUAGCCUUUCACCCGGGACCAGGGGGCGGAGGGCAGGGAGAAGAUCUCAAUGUCUCCCACCAGAGGGAGAAACGGCGCCGAGAGCGUCGCCAACAUCAUGACCGGCACCGCCCAUCAAGGGUUUCACCCGACCCUGAGCCCGCAUCUCCACUUCAUCGCCAACCAUCAAAGCAGGAUGCCCGGGGGCAGGCCACAUCCCGGCUUGUGGAGGAGAACAAGCGCCGCUGCAAAUGCCAUCUUCAGAUUGGGACCAGGCCCGCCGCCGCCUUGUCGCCCAGCACAACCAAGACGGCACACCGUGUAAGAUGUGGGAAUCACGUGUUGUAUUCCUCAGGUGCAAACGCAUGUAUAUAUGAUGUACAAAAGGUGGGCCACGACCUCGACUAUACAAGGAACUAGGAGGUGGGCCUAAUACAUAGAUAUGCACAACACAUAUACUCAACACCCCCCACAGUCGAAGCGGCACCGCUGCUGACGAAAAGACUGGACCGAACUCCUCAAAUGACGCCGUAGGCAAGCCCUUGGUCAUGAUAUCUGCAAAUUGUUGGGAAGUAGGGACGUGUAAAACACGAAUAUGGCCAAGGGCCACCUGUUCCCGAACAAAAUGAAUAUCCAACUCAAUAUGCUUGGUCCGUCGAUGAUGCACUGGAUUAGCGGAGAGGUAGACCGCCGAGACGUUGUCACAAUAGACCACUGUGGCACGGACAAUAGGGCAGGAGAACUCCUGAAGCAGCUGGUGAAGCCACGAACAUGAAGGAAAUAUGCCCUAGAGGCAAUAAUAAAGUUAUUAUUUAUUUCCUUAUGUCAUGAUAAAUGUUUAUUAUUCAUGCUAGAAUUGUAUUAACCGGAAACAUAAUACAUGUGUCAAUACAUAGACAAACAGAGUGUCACUAGUAUGCCUCUACUUGACUAGCUCAUUAAUCAAAGAUGGUUAUGUUUCCUAACCAUGGACAAAGAGUUGUUAUUUGAUUAACGGGAUCACAUCAUUAGGUGAAUGAUCUGAUUGACAUGACCCAUUCCAUUAGCUUAGCACCCGAUCGUUUAGUAUGUUGCUAUUGCUUUCUUCAUGACUUAUACAUGUUCCUAUGACUAUGAGAUUAUGCAACUCCCGUUUGCUGGAGGAACACUUUGUGUGCUACCAAACGUCACAAUGUAACUGGGUGAUUAUAAAGGUGCUCUACAGGUGUCUCCAAAGGUACAUGUUGGGUUGGCGUAUUUCGAGAUUAGGAUUUGUCACUCCGAUUGUCAGAGAGGUAUCUCUGGGCCCUCUCGGUAAUGCACAUCACAUAAGCCUUGCAAGCAUUGCAACUAAUGAGUUAGUUGUGAGAUGAUGUAUUACGGAACGAGUAAAGAGACUUGCCGGUAACGAGAUUGAACUAGGUAUUGAGAUACCGACGAUCGAAUCCCGGGCAAGUAACAUACCGAUGACAAAGGGAACAACGUAUGUUGUUAUGCGGUCUGACCAAUAAAGAUCUUCGUAGAAUAUGUAGGAGCCAAUAUGAGCAUCCAGGUUCCGCUAUUGGUUAUUGACCGGAGAUGUGUCUCGGUCAUGUCUACAUUGUUCUUGAACCGUAGGGUCCGCACGCUUAACGUUAUGAUGACAGUUUCAUUACGAGUUUAUGUAUUUUGAUGUACCGAAGUUUGUUCGGGGUCCCGGAUGUGAUCACGGACAUGACGAGGAGUCUCGAAAUGGUCGAGACAUAAAGAUCGAUAUAUUGGACGGCUAUAUUCGGACACCGGAAAUGUUUCGGGUGAUUUCGGAGAAAACCGGAGUGCCGGAGGGUUACCGGAACCCCUCGGGAGUAGUAAUGGGCCUUAUGGGCCUUAGUGGAGAGAGAGAGAGGCGGCUAGGGUGGGCCGCGCGCCCCUCCCCCUCUGGUCCGAAUUGGACUAGGAGAGGGGGGGCGGCGCCCGCCUUUCCUUCUCCCUCUCCCCCUUCCUUUCCCCCUCCUAGUAGGAGUAGGAAAGAGGGAGUCCUACUCCUACUAGGAGGAGGAUUCCUCCUCCCUGGCGCGCCCCAAGGGCCGGCCGGCCUCCCCCCUUGCUCCUUUAUAUACGGGGGCAGGGGGCACCUCUAGACACACAAGUUGAUCUUCGUGAUCGUUCCUCAGCCGUGUGCGGUGCCCCCUCCACCAUAUUCCACCUCGGUCAUAUUGUAGCGGUGCUUAGGCGAAGCCCUGCGACGGUAGAACAUCAAGAUCGUCACCACGCUAUCGUGCUGACGGAACUCCUCCCCGAUGCUUUGCUGGAUCGGAGCCCGGGGAUCGUCAUCGAGCUGAACGUGUGCCAAGAACUCGGAGGUGCCGGAGUAACGGUGCUUGGAUCGGUCGGAUCGGGAAGACGUACGACUACUUCCUCUAUGUUGCGUCAACGCUUCCGCUUCGGUCUACGAGGGUACGUAGACAACACUCUCCCCUCUCGUUGCUAUGCAUCACCAUGAUCUUGCGUGUGUGUAGGAAUUUUUUUGAAAUUACUACGUUCCCCAAUAGUGGCAUCCAAGCCUAGGUUUUAUGUGUUGAUGUUAUAUGCACGAGUAGAACACAAGUGAGUUGUGGGCGAUAUAAGUCAUACUGCUUACCAGCAUGUCAUACUUUGGUUCGGCGGUAUUGUUGGAUGAAGCGGCCCGGACCGACAUUACGCGCACGCUUACGCGAGACUGGUUCUACCGCCGUGCUUUGCACACAGGUGGCUGGCGGGUGUCAGUUUCUCCAACUUUAGUUGAACCGAGUGUGGCUACGCCCGGUCCUUGCAAAGGUUAAAACAGCACCAACUUGACAAACUAUCGUUGUGGUUUUGAUGCGUAGGUAAGAUUGGUUCUUGCUUAAGCCCGUAGCAGCCACGUAAAACUUGCAACAAACAAAGUAGAGGACGUCUAACUUGUUUUUGCAGGGCAUGUUGUGAUGUGAUAUGGUCAAGGCAUGAUGCUAAAUUUUAUUGUAUGAGAUGAUCAUGUUUUGUAACCGAGUUAUCGGCAACUGGCAGGAGCCAUAUGGUUGUCGCUUUAUUGUAUGCAAUGCAAUCGCCUUGUAAUGCUUUACUUUAUCACUAAGCGGUAGCGAUAGUCGUAGAAGCAUAAGAUUGGCGAGACGACAACGAUGCUACGAUGGAGAUCAAGGUGUCGCGCCGGUGACGAUGGUGAUCAUGACGAUGCUUCGGAGAUGGAGAUCACAAGCACAAGAUGAUGAUGGC